AAACGUAGGAGGCGAGCGUUAUCCGGAUUUACUGGGCGUAAAGCGUACGCAGGUGGCUUCGUUAGUCGGACAUGAAAGCUCCUGGCUUAACUGGGAGAGGUUGUUCGAUACUGCGGGGCUGGAGGUUGGGAGAGGGACGUGGAAUUCCCGGUGUAGUGGUGGAAUGCGUAGAUAUCGGGAGGAACACCAGUGGCGCAAGCGGCGUCCUGGCCCACACCUGACGCUGAGGUACGAAAGCGUGGGUAGCAAACAGGAUUAGAUACCCUGGUAGUCCACGCUGUAAACGAUGUCAACUGGGUGCCGGUAGUUUUACACUAUCGGUGCCGAAGCUAACGCGUUAAGUUGACCGCCUGGGGACUACGGCCGCAAGGCUGAA
RNAcentral lists this ribosomal RNA (376 nucleotides) under uncultured bacterium. RNAcentral describes it as "bacterial SSU rRNA". It matches the Rfam family "Bacterial small subunit ribosomal RNA", at positions 523 to 898 of the family's 1533-position model. The record is from RNAcentral.